UACCCAAUUUAAAAUUUACUACAGGAAGAAAUUCAGCAGGCAAAGAAGCAAUUGGAUAAAAAGGAUGUCGACUACGAGGCAGCAUUGUCCACAAAAUUGUCGAUUGCUAGAAAAAUAUUCAAUUUAGAAAAGGAAAAAGUGCUAAACUCCAGUUCUUUCCAGCAGUUCUUAUCUGAAAACGAGGAAUGGUUGAAACCA
Molecule: RNA transcript, 198 nt
Organism: Zea mays
Lineage: Eukaryota; Viridiplantae; Streptophyta; Magnoliopsida; Poales; Poaceae
Gene name: 4-alpha-glucanotransferase pseudogene
Exons: 3
Source: RefSeq, marked validated